AAAUACAAAUAAAAAAAUCUGAUACAUCUAUUGAUUGCCUAGGUGAGUCCAUAUAUGCUCAAUCAAAUCAUUUUGCAUUUGAAUGUGAGUUGUCCAAUCACAUAUUUCAUGAUGAAAUUGGAUGAAAUCUGCAAACAUUGCCGGUCCAUCAUGCUCAUCCUCUACUAUCGUGUUGUGUAUGAUCACACAAGUAGUCGUCAUAUUCCACAUCUACCACACAAGCAGUCAUCACAUUCAACAUCUUAUGUUGGCUCCAUGUUCUAGUAGGAUGCCGAACAAUAGCCCAUCAAGAUUGAAGCACACCGAAAGCACACUCCACAUCCUUUCUAGCACUCUCUUGUGCUUGGGCAAACCUAACCCGCUUCUCUCCUACCGGCUUAAAGAUUGUCUUCAUAAGUGUUGACCACUAAGUAUAGAUGCCAUCAAGUAGGUAGUAUCCUUUGUUGUAUUCACCUCAAAGUUGAGCUCCGGACAGUUGCCUUCUAUAAGUCGUGCGGACACUGGAGACUGCGGAAACACGUUGAUGUCAUUGUGAGAACCUGCCAUGCCGAAGAAAAAGUGCAAAAUCCAAAGAUCUUGUGAUGCCACAGCUUCAAGUAUGACCGUGCAAGCUUUAACAUGCCCCUUAUACUACCCUGCCAAGCAAAUGCACAACUCUUCCACUUCUAGUAAAUUUAUGCAACAAAACAUCCAUGAAAAGCCCAUGGAUUCAUUGAUUGCCAACAAUCGAGUUGUAUCUGCAGCAUUUGGUUCUCUCAAGUACUCUGGAACAAAUACUGCAAUCACAACUUUGUAGAAUCGGUACAAUGAUGCAAGGCAUGUGGACUCACUCAUGCGGAUAUACUCAUCUGCAAGAUCACCGGGGAUUCCUUAUGCAAGCAUCCGGAUAGUUGUAGUACAUUUCCGAUAAGAGGAGAAGCCAACCCUUCCGAGGGCAUCAUUCUUGUAGUAACCAUACUCCAUCACUCCCUCCCAAAUACAGUUGAACACAUGUCUCGCCAUCCGAAAGCGUCGUCGGAAAAGCUUGGUAUUGAAGAGUGGGGGCGUGCACUGAAAAUAAUCGCUAUAGAAUAGGCAACGGCCGCUCUCUCUAUUAUGAUUCAAUGUCGGAGCAUGGUCCGGAAUCAACCCCAUAAACAUUGGCAGCAUCCUAGAAAUGUGCUCAUUGAUGAUCAUAGUAGCAACCACAAAGUCCUCGUCGUUGGACAAGGAAUCGUCCAACGAAUAUAUGAUAUUAUCGUAGAAGAACUCAUCCGAGCUCUCGACCAUGGUACCUUGUGGCCAAAAGGCUGAACACCUUGCGGGCAGCGAUGAAGGAGGGCGUGGUCGAGCCGCGGCCGAUGAAGGGCAGCAGGUCUAUUGACGCCGUAGCCCUCCGAUGGUGACCAUGGAGGCGAGGGCGGUGCCAGCGACCCUUGGCAGGUGUCCCUUCUCAUGCUACGACGACAACGAUGAGUGGCCACAGACACUGACCUCGGUGGAUGCGGCGGCGAUGGAGAAGUUGGUGGAUGCGCCUGGGUGGUGGUGUUGCAGCCGGAACUGGGUGCCGACAGCGAGGAUGGGGUCGAGAGUGUGGAGGGGGAGGGGGAAGAAUGGCCUAGAUUACUUGGCGCCUUCACCAUGGUCCGUGCACCAUUUUCACACAUGGUAGGUGGCCGGUUUAGUUUUUUUUAAGGAAAAGGUGGGUUGGUUUUUUUUAACACAGUACAGACGCAAACGCUCAUAUAUACACGCGUAGACUCACCCCGAUGAACGCACACAUGCAUACCCUACCCCUAUGAGCACCUCCGAGACACUGAGCCGGCAUAUCAUCUUGAGAUUUUACGAAGUCAUCGUAGGUGCCUCGUAGUCGACGGGGACAUCUCCUCCACCUGAACACGCAUCGCCGAAAAUCCUCGAAUAAAGAAUAAAUGCGAGUGUCCACCUAACCGUCCAAGUUGGUUCCCAGGUGGCCUGGUUUUGUGGAAGGUGUUUUUGCCUCGCGGGCCAUUGCGCGCCCAGAAGGCCCAUAGCUAACCCCGUCUACGCCGCCGAGUGAAAACAGAAAAAGAAAAGGAGAAAGAGAGUACUAUUGCUGGCCAUUGUCGCCGGCCAGGUUCCCCUCCCGGCGGCGGCGCUGCCACCUGAUUCCCCCAGUUCUCCGUCGUUUUUGAGCGUUGACGCAAGCCGAAGCAGCUCCGGCGAACCGAGCGCAGCCGCCCCAUUCCACGCGCCACCUUCUGUUGUUUUGUUCGCAGGGUCGCUCCGGCCACAUAGCCCUGCAGUACCUCGCCACGUUGGGUUUCUGCUGUUCUGCCCACCGGUGCCAUACUGAUGCAGACAUUUCAACUGCAACAGAUUGCCAGAUUGGAAGUAGCAAAAACUAGGUAGUAGUAUCUCAUUACUGUGGUUCACUUUUUACAAACUGCCCGGUUACAGAAUUGCAGCCGAACAAACAAACUUGGACAAAAAAUCUGGUAUGCUUAUAGUAUGAUCUGAACCUGUAGACUUGACAUAUACAACUUGAUUAAGACAACACUGGAAUUUACACUUCUCUUUUGUACAGUUUAGCUAGCCAACUAGUUGUGCCCUCGAAGUUAACCUGAAGACUCCGCACUAUGUGUCAGAUGCCGGUGGAGCGGGUGCCUGCGUGCUGCUCAUCUUGCUUCUCAGCUCCUCAAAGACUUUCAUGCUGUCCGCGUCGAAGCCUCCGGCAAA
Non-coding RNA from Aegilops tauschii subsp. strangulata, 2697 nucleotides. NCBI's taxonomy places the organism in Eukaryota, Viridiplantae, Streptophyta, Magnoliopsida, Poales, Poaceae. The record is from RefSeq and is a predicted model, not a curated record.